UAACAAUAAGACAACAGGGCGCAUAAAACUUAAGCCUAUUUUUUGCUUUGUUUUAUUUGUCUCCUUUUUAUUUGUUCAGCUAUGUACGUUCAUAACUUCAGAAUGUAAUGUGCAUCUAAUUCUCAAUGUACUCUCUCAUAUCUUGCCUGUUUUUAUGUAUACCGUCGAAUACUAUGCUUAUUACUUUAAAGCUCAGAAUGUGAAGUUAAUAAUGGAUGAAAUACGAACCGACUGGAAUUCAUUAAAUGACAAGAAGGAAAUCGAUAUAAUCGAGAAAUAUUCUUA
This is a long non-coding RNA of Camponotus floridanus (Florida carpenter ant), 285 nucleotides long. RefSeq lists it as uncharacterized. NCBI's taxonomy places the organism in Eukaryota, Metazoa, Arthropoda, Insecta, Hymenoptera, Formicidae. The transcript is spliced from 3 exons. The record is from RefSeq and is a predicted model, not a curated record.